Gadus chalcogrammus (walleye pollock) is the source of this 3535-nucleotide long non-coding RNA. RefSeq lists it as uncharacterized. The transcript has 3 exons. The record is from RefSeq and is a predicted model, not a curated record. NCBI's taxonomy places the organism in Eukaryota, Metazoa, Chordata, Actinopteri, Gadiformes, Gadidae.
GGUUCGGUGGAUUAAGGCAUAGCCCUCACAUGGGGCUCAGGUAUUGGCAGUAGUAUUUGCUCACUUUAUAUUGUCAGGGAUAUUAGCACUGGAAGCUAACAUGCUAAUGUAGUAUAAACGAAUGAGAAUGCACAGCCGAGUCUCCCCUGAGCUGUCUGUUGGCGGCGUUCCACUGCACGCUCCAUCAGGGCCGGCGCUUGUGUCACUGAGGUUGUGGUUGAAUACAGUAGUAGCUGGACACUCUUUGAAGAAUUUGCUGUCACAGAGAUAAAGAUAUUAUUUUAUACAUGGCCUGCUGAUUUUUGUACAGUGUUUUUAUAGCUGAUUAUUUUGUCAUGAACAUAUAUACAUUUAUUAUGCACUACUUUUCUAAAUAUUUUUUUCAAUAGUCAUUUUAGGCACAUUUUUCACAGAUGGGAGAACUCCUUUUGCAAUACCUCAUUUUUUUCACUUGGUAAAAAUAAUUUUAUACCUUUGUUACUAAGAGAUCUGCAUUUAUGGUAAACUUAAUUUAAAAAGAGAAAAAUGAUAAUAUAAUUUUCAAUUUAGCUUUUAUAUAUUUAAGUGCUGAUAAAUCUCAGUUGUUUGGUGCAUUGGUGUGAUUCUGUAGAGGAAAAAAAAAAAGAUAAGAGGCUAGCGUUGGCCAACCGUAUACAAAUUCUUCUCAGUCCUAAUGAAUAUAAUUACAGGAUCCUAUGGCAUGGCAAGAUCUUUCUAAAUGGAUUUUGAUAGUCUUGAAAAUAUAUUCUGAUAUUUGCUUCUAGUCGUAGUUGAUAAGAAUAUUAUAUGGUAAAUGUUUUGGCUUUUCGGUCGAUGUGAACUCCCCCACCUACGCCCCCUCAUUGUAUCACCAGAAUGAAUGACGCCUGUUUAAAUAUUUAGAUCUUCUUCUCGGCAUGCAUGAUGAUAAAGCAGAGUAACAUGGCUAGUGUUCAUACAGGACCUAUUGUAACGCACUACAGCUCCCGCCAUCGUCUCACUUUACUUGACCGAUUUCUUUAUUUUUUUUAAUCCUCGUCGAUCACUAUCCUCUCUCUCUCUCUGUCUCUGUCUCUCUCUGUAUACACCGGUAUCGUCUGCAUUGCUCACACAUAGACACGUCGUUUAAUGCAGACCCCACCUCGACGACGCCUCAACUCGGGAGGACACUCGGUAUGUAGGGGUGUCUUGUUAGUGAAGGGGCGACGGGCGUCCGACCUCCCACCCUCCUCUUGUGAUGUGGCAUGCUUUGGGACAUAACCUGAAUGUGAUUGAUGUUGCAAGUUAACUUUGAGCCAUUAUGUGCAAUACUUAUCCUUUCCAGAAGAGUUAUUCGCAGUGUAAAUCAUUUAAUUCACACAAAUCGCGCAAUCAUUUAUCCCCCUUUUCCUCCCCUAUAAUUUAUGCUGGUGUCUGCAAGGAAAAAAAUAAGUCUUUCUACUAAUUUAUACCUGAAUUUAUUUUUAAACAUUAGUUUUGUGCUUAUUUACUUAUUUUGCUACUACCAUGCUACUGUGAUUGAAAACAUUGUAAAUACUAGGUUGAUAAUGUAUUAAGCAUUUGCUAUUUUUUCAAUUGAAAUGUAUAACUUUAAUUUUGAGCAGAUCUUUGUUAUAUUUUUUGGGGUGUUGUGUUAAACUUGUGUCUAGUUUUUCUAAUUGCUGUACUGUGCUCCACGUUUUCAGAUGAAAAGAAUAUUGAUAUGUUUGUUAGUAUUACUUGAUUGCAAAAAUUUCAAUAGUUUUUAAUUGUAUGCUGGGAAGGUUUUAUUUAUUAACUUUUUUUACUUUUAUCAUUUGGAUUUUUAUUAAGUCAUUUCACAUUUAUAAGUUCUAAUUUUUUAUUUUCCUCCUGAUUGCGUUGCGCUACAAUACAGACGUCAGUUUUUACAGUUGGUUUGUAGUAUUGAAGUAAGAGACGAAGAUCCAAUGUCAUUCAUUUGCAGCCAACUAUAACUGUAUGCAUACAUUUGAAGUAUUUGUAAUGUGAGAUGUAGAAUGAAUAAAACAACUGUGAGGAACCCUCUCGUGGCCUACUUUUGCUAAGAGAACUGAAGUCAAUGAUUUUUACAGACACAGAGAGAGAGGGAGAAUCAGUACUAUGCAGAUGUAAUGUGCUUGUUUAAGAUAAACAAACUACAAACGUAUCAUUUGCUACAUUCCAGGUAUGUUUGUGACUUCGCAAAAAGAAAUGUCAUGAUAUUUUUACCUCGAGCAAAUAUUGAUUUUCAAUAUUGUGUGUUGAGAAUGGUGCCAUUGAGGUACUUCACUGCCAUCUACUGGUCAUGUUUAGUUAAGAGAUGGAUGUGACCCAUAUGCAGGUGCUGCACCAUGUGCUGCACUGGCACGUCAGCCCUGACCGCUGAGCUCGUGACAUGACUCCAUCAGGAAAGUCGUUGCUCUGGGAAAUGAGGCGCGGGAGAUUGUCAAAAAUGGCGAAGACCGUUUAUGUGCCACGAUUUGGCUCUCAAUUGCAUGGCAGCCAAACAAACGAACCAAAGGAAUAUUUGAUAGAUCUACCACCCACUUGUACACAGAAGAAACAAUACGAGAACUGUUUGUCAUCGAAAAAGGGACAAUUUACAAGAUCUCGCAACUACGCUAAAAACAAGCAAACUAACAAUGACAACAAAUCUGAAGCAUCACCUACACUGCAAUACAGUUGUAGGUCUGUGUCUCAAACGAGGAGGGCUUUGGACUGCGAAAAAGAGGAAUCCAAAUCGACGAGCCAGGGGACGGUUUUCGACCCCGACUGGGAAGAAGAACUUCCUCUUUCUGAACCCAGCCAACGCCACAAAACAGAUACUCUUAAUGAAAAGCUCAAACCUGCCGUUCUGAGAACAAUCGCGAAGAUGCUGCGUGAGAACAGGUGUAUCCGGAGGAGGCUUCUCUCCCUCAGCCAGGCCAGUCGCCCUCUGACCAGAGUCCCGGCGGGGCGCUCCCACCGCAGGGACACCUCCUUAACCCGCUAACGUAUGCCUUUAAUGUUUCACUAGGAAUUUAGUUGUUUCAGAUUUGAGUUGUCAGUUGGACCUACUUUUAAUUAAAAAGGCUUAACCUGAACUAUAAUAAGGCCGUGCUGUAAGACCAAAUGCUAGGCUAAAUGUUGAUUGUUGGUAGGCUACAUGUUGAUCGUAACCACCAAAGGCCGGUUAGUUAAUACAUAGUCUUAAUAUAUGCCUAUACCGAAUGUGUUGGUAGGUAUUUAGUUGUUGCAGAUGUCUGUUGUUGCCAGUUGCACAGUUUGACCAACACCGGUAAUUUCCUUCAUAUUGUAAUAAACCUCGAUUUAGGCCAUCUUGUUGGCCUAUAUAUAAGGUCGGGAAGGUGGAAGAUAUUACCCAAAGAUGAAUGUUAUUGUAUCGGAAACAAUCUGCAAAGUUGUUUGGUACUGGAAAUUAAAGUGUUACUUUCGUAAAUAAGGGUCAUUUUUUGUCUUUGUUCCUAGAGUCUUCACUAUUUGUUUUAUCUUUCCCCACCAGGGUGCGCCACUUUUUCAUUUCUGGCUUUGGUCUAAAUAUUACAAUAAUUCUCCAAUCUUUUCUAAAGUAUCUCAA